RNAcentral lists this ribosomal RNA (515 nucleotides) under uncultured bacterium. RNAcentral describes it as "partial 16S ribosomal RNA". It matches the Rfam family "Bacterial small subunit ribosomal RNA", at positions 28 to 523 of the family's 1533-position model. The record is from RNAcentral.
GAUGAACGCUGGCGGCGUGCCUAAUACAUGCAAGUCGAGCGAAUGGAUUAAGAGCUUGCUCUUAUGAAGUUAGCGGCGGACGGGUGAGUAACACGUGGGUAACCUGCCCAUAAGCCUGGGAUACCUCCGGGAAACCGGGGCUAAUACCGGAUAACAUUUUGAACCGCCUGGUUCGAAAUUGAAAGGCGGCUUCGGCUGUCACUUAUGGAUGGACCCGCGUCGCAUUAGCUAGUUGGUGAGGUAACGGCUCACCAAGGCAACGAUGCGUAGCCGACCUGAGAGGGUGAUCGGCCACACUGGGACUGAGACACGGCCCAGACUCCUACGGGAGGCAGCAGUAGGGAAUCUUCCGCAAUGGACGAAAGUCUGACGGAGCAACGCCGCGUGAGUGAUGAAGGCUUUCGGGUCGUAAAACUCUGUUGUUAGGGAAGAACAAGUGCUAGUUGAAUAAGCUGGCACCUUGACGGUACCUAACCAGAAAGCCACGGCUAACUACGUGCCAGCCGCCGCCGUAA